RNAcentral lists this ribosomal RNA (330 nucleotides) under uncultured eukaryote. RNAcentral describes it as "partial 18S ribosomal RNA". It matches the Rfam family "Eukaryotic small subunit ribosomal RNA", at positions 1470 to 1796 of the family's 1831-position model. The record is from RNAcentral.
CCCUUAGAUGUUCUGGGCCGCACGCGCGCUACACUGAUGCAUUCAACGAGUCUAAAACCGGGUCUGAUAGGGCUGGGUAAUCUUUUGAAUGUGCAUCGUGAUUGGGAUAGAUGAUUGCAAUUCUUCAUCUUCAACGAGGAAUGCCUAGUAAACGCAAGUCAUCAGCUUGCAUUGAUUACGUCCCUGCCCUUUGUACACACCGCCCGUCGCUCCUACCGAUUGAAUGUUCCGAUGAAUACCAUGGACUGAGAGUAUGAAUGGGUUCGCCUAUUUCUGCUUCUCGGGAAGUGGAGUAAAUCUUAACAUUUAGAGGAAGGAGAAGUCGUAACA